Molecule: ribosomal RNA, 468 nt
Filed under: uncultured bacterium
Lineage: Bacteria
Description: partial 16S ribosomal RNA
Rfam family: Bacterial small subunit ribosomal RNA
Source: RNAcentral
GACGAACGCUGGCGGCGUGCUUAACACAUGCAAGUCGAACGGAAAGGCCCUGCUUUUGUGGGGUGCUCGAGUGGCGAACGGGUGAGUAACACGUGAGUAACCUGCCCUUGACUUUGGGAUAACUUCAGGAAACUGGGGCUAAUACCGGAUAGGAGCUCCUGCUGCAUGGUGGGGGUUGGAAAGUUUCGGCGGUUGGGGCUGGACUCGCGGCUUAUCAGCUUGUUGGUGGGGUAGUGGCUUACCAAGGCUUUGACGGGUAGCCGGCCUGAGAGGGUGACCGGCCACCUUGGGACUGAGAUACGGCCCAGACUCCUACGGGAGGCAGCAGUGGGGGAUAUUGCACAAUGGGCGGAAGCCUGAUGCAGCAACGCCGCGUGCUGGAUGACGGCCUUCGGGUUGUAAACCGCUUUCGCCUGUGACGAAGCGUGAGUGACGGUAAUGGGUAAAGAAGCACCGGCUAACUACGUG